CUCAUAACUACUGAAGACUCUGAUCAGUAUGAAACAUGGCCAUCAGAGCUUCACGCAGCUUCUUCACCUUAUCAGUCUUUCUGCUCUGGCUACCAGGCCGUACCGCUGGCGGCGAGCCGGUGUCCCAGACUCCUACGCUGUGGGCGAAUCAGGACGCCGACGCCACGAUGCAGUGCGGCCACACAAAGGGCAGCACGUACCGCCUGAUGUACUGGUACCAGCAGCUGCCGGGUCAGAACAUGAAGCUAAUCGUUUUCACCACGGCGUACAGCACACCCGAGUACGACCCGGGCUUCACGGAGGAGAAGUUUCCGGCGCAGAAGAAGAACGCGGAGACGGGAUCUCUGACGGUGAAGGAGGUGAAGCCUGAAGACAGCGGAGUGUAUUUCUGUUCUGUCAGUGAGACACAGUGACGCAGCUGAUUAAAGAGCUGCACAAAAACCCGGCUGAGACCCAGAGAACGGAAAAUAUUGUUUUGAGCUGACUCUAGAGGGCGCUAAAGGCCACAUUACACAUCACUAAUACCUUCUAGGAAAGGUUACUGACUACAGUGGGUUUAUUUUGACUGUAUAUUUCUAUAUGUGCUAUCAAAUAUACAUCACUGCCAAUAAAAUACAGCAAUUCAACGUGACAAAAGUUAAUCAGAUACGAAUGCUUUUUGCAAGACUGUAAUAUGCGCUUCUUUUUUUUUUUCCAGAUUUAGCUUUAUUUGGUUGCUGGAGUUGUUUAUUUCUUUUUAAGAAUGAAAUCUAUAAAAAAAAUAAUGGUGGCCAACAAAAGUUGUUUCAUGGAACAAGUAAAAUUUAACCCUCAGGAUGCAACGGGCUAAAAAGUAUGUUUUGUGUUUUUGUUUCAUUAUCAUGAAACAUUUUCUAGGUUUUUCUUCACUUAUUACAAAAUAUGCAGAGACUCUAUUGUGGAUUAAACGACAUGGAGUCGGCUUGAAUCGGAUGUUGCUAUGACGAUCCCAUUUUGUGCCUCCUCCCCUCUCAUGAGUUCAGCAUGUCAGUCACAGCCAAGACGGAGAGGAAGAUAAAGACGUCAUGAUCAGCAUCAUCACUCCGCUGCUGCUGCUUCUGGGGUAAAACGCUUUAUUUCCUCGCCGUUGUAUAAAUCAAAUUAAUAUCUUUGUCAAACUAUUCUUAACUUCAUCUCUCUUUUUUAACUAU
Xiphophorus hellerii (green swordtail) is the source of this 1169-nucleotide non-coding RNA. NCBI's taxonomy places the organism in Eukaryota, Metazoa, Chordata, Actinopteri, Cyprinodontiformes, Poeciliidae. The record is from the annotation of a RefSeq genome assembly.